This 334-nucleotide unclassified non-coding RNA is filed under the name soil metagenome. RNAcentral describes it as "partial contains 5.8S ribosomal RNA, internal transcribed spacer 2, and large subunit ribosomal RNA". The stretch from base 1 to 120 matches the Rfam family "5.8S ribosomal RNA", at positions 35 to 154 of the family's 154-position model. The record is from RNAcentral.
GAUGAAGAACGUAGCGAAAUGCGAUAAGUAAUGCGAAUUGCAGAAUUCCGUGAGUCAUCGAAUCUUUGAACGCACAUUGCGCCCGCCAGUAUUCUGGCGGGCAUGCCUGUUCGAGCGUCAUUUCAACCAUCAAGCCCCCGGCUUGUGUUGGGGACCUGCGGCUGCCGCAGGCCCUGAAAACCAGUGGCGGGCUCGCUAGUCACUCCGAGCGUAGUAAUACAUCUCGCUCAGGGCGUGCUGCGGGUUCCGGCCGUUAAAAGCCUUAUUUACCCAAGGUUGACCUCGGAUCAGGUAGGAAGACCCGCUGAACUUAAGCAUAUCAAUAAGCGGAGGA